AUUUUCGGGACAAUACACGUGUUGAGGAGGUGACUAAGAAACCGGUAGUUAAGCGCAAAAGAAAACGGGCAAAAAAGGCCAAGAAUCAAACGGCUGGAAUAAAAUAUCCCUUGUCAGACAGAAACACUUUUGGUGAUACAAAUAAUAUCAGCGUAAGUCAUACUUUUCUUACUACUUAUCAGGAAAAAGCCAUACUAUUAUUACUCGGGAUAUUUGCUUGAAACUGACCAAGUUUAUUCUACUAUUUAAAAUGCAGACUCUUGAAACAAAGUUUAUGGUGUCUGUAGAUCUAGGUAGGCAGAAAGGAAAGUUUUUAACAAAAUAGCAUUCAAAAUGGCUAAAAUUCUCCAUGGCAGAUCCUAGCUCAAAUUUUGUCAUGAGCUGCAUUUGAGAUAGUGCAACCUCCUAUGGUUGAUUUGGGCAGUAGUUUUUGCCCCACUCCAGAGCAAAUCCUCGAGCGGAG
RNAcentral lists this long non-coding RNA (463 nucleotides) under Nicotiana benthamiana. RNAcentral describes it as "long non-coding RNA (NBEN_LNC026865)". The record is from RNAcentral. Lineage: Eukaryota; Viridiplantae; Streptophyta; Magnoliopsida; Solanales; Solanaceae.